AAAAAAGGUAAGCUACUAAGAGCGAAUGGUGGAUGCCUUGACUGGUAAAGGCGAUGAAGGACGUACUAGACUGCGAUAAGCUACGGGGAGCUGUCAAGAAGCUUUGAUCCGUAGAUUUCCGAAUGGGGCAACCCAAUGUAUAGAGAUAUACAUUACCUAUAUAGGAGCGAACGAGGGGAAUUGAAACAUCUUAGUACCCUCAGGAAAAGAAAUCAAUAGAGAUUGCGUCAGUAGCGGCGAGCGAAAGCGCAAGAGGGCAAACCCAGUGCUUGCACUGGGGGUUGUAGGACUGCAAUGUGCAAGAGGUGAGUUUAGCAGAACAUUCUGGAAAGUAUAGCCAUAGAGGGUGAUAGUCCCGUAUGCGAAAAACAAACCUUAGCUAGCAGUAUCCUGAGUAGGGCGGGACACGAGAAAUCCUGUCUGAAGCUGGGUCGACCACGAUCCAACCCUAAAUACUAAUACCAGAUCGAUAGUGCACAAGUACCGUGAGGGAAAGGUGAAAAGAACUGAGGUGAUCAGAGUGAAAUAGAACCUGAAACCAUUUGCUUACAAUCAUUCAGAGCCCUAUGUAGCAAUACAGGGUGAUGGACUGCCUUUUGCAUAAUGAGCCUGCGAGUUGUGGUGUCUGGCAAGGUUAAGCAAACGUGAAGCCGUAGCGAAAGCGAGUCUGAAUAGGGCGCUUAGUCAGAUGCUGCAGACCCGAAACGAAGUGAUCUAUCCAUGAGCAAGUUGAAGCUAGUGUAAGAACUAGUGGAGGACUGAACCCAUAGGCGUUGAAAAGCCCCGGGAUGACUUGUGGAUAGGGGUGAAAGGCCAAUCAAACUUCGUGAUAGCUGGUUCUCUCCGAAAUAUAUUUAGGUAUAGCGUUGUGUCGUAAUAUAAGGGGGUAGAGCACUGAAUGGGCUAGGGCAUACACCAAUGUACCAAACCCUAUCAAACUCCGAAUACCUUAUAUGUAAUCACAGCAGUCAGGCGGCGAGUGAUAAAAUCCGUCGUCAAGAGGGAAACAACCCAGACUACCAGCUAAGGUCCCUAAAUCUUACUUAAGUGGAAAACGAUGUGAAGUUACUUAAACAACCAGGAGGUUGGCUUAGAAGCAGCCAUCCUUUAAAGAAAGCGUAAUAGCUCACUGGUCUAGUGAUUUUGCGCGGAAAAUAUAACGGGGCUAAAGUAAGUACCGAAGCUGUAGACUUGCGCACAACUUAGAUUAUUUAAGUUUAGAAUAUGAGAAACUAAGUUAUAUGUUUAGUUAUAUUUUUACUGAUUUUUAUAGAGUAAAGAUAGAAAUAAAACUUAGUAAAAUCAGUAAAAAUAUUCUUAGACUAAAGUUAAGUAGUUUAAGUUGUGUGCAAGUGGUAGGAGAGCGUUCUAUUUGCGUCGAAGGUAUACCGGUAAGGAGUGCUGGAGCGAAUAGAAGUGAGCAUGCAGGCAUGAGUAGCGAUAAUUAAUGUGAGAAUCAUUAACGCCGUAAACCCAAGGUUUCCUACGCGAUGCUCGUCAUCGUAGGGUUAGUCGGGUCCUAAGUCGAGUCCGAAAGGGGUAGACGAUGGCAAAUUGGUUAAUAUUCCAAUACCAACAUUAGUGUGCGAUGGAAGGACGCUUAGGGCUAAGGGGGCUAGCGGAUGGAAGUGCUAGUCUAAGGUCGUAGGAGGUUAUACAGGCAAAUCCGUAUAACAAUACUCCGAGAACUGAAAGGCUUUUUGAAGUCUUCGGAUGGAUAGAAGAACCCCUGAUGCCAUCGAGCCAAGAAAAGUUUCUAAGUUUAGCUAAUGUUGCCCGUACCGUAAACCGACACAGGUGGGUGGGAUGAGUAUUCUAAGGCGCGUGGAAGAACUCUCUUUAAGGAACUCUGCAAAAUAGCACCGUA
This 1867-nucleotide ribosomal RNA is filed under the name Campylobacter coli. RNAcentral's name for it is "partial 23S ribosomal RNA". It matches the Rfam family "Bacterial large subunit ribosomal RNA", at positions 1 to 1732 of the family's 2925-position model. Lineage: Bacteria; Pseudomonadati; Campylobacterota; Epsilonproteobacteria; Campylobacterales; Campylobacteraceae. The record is from RNAcentral.